RNAcentral lists this ribosomal RNA (562 nucleotides) under Enterococcus mundtii. RNAcentral describes it as "bacterial SSU rRNA". It matches the Rfam family "Bacterial small subunit ribosomal RNA", at positions 334 to 889 of the family's 1533-position model. Lineage: Bacteria; Bacillati; Bacillota; Bacilli; Lactobacillales; Enterococcaceae. The record is from RNAcentral.
GAUUCCUUACGGGAGGCAGCAGUAGGGAAUCUUCGGCAAUGGACGAAAGUCUGACCGAGCAACGCCGCGUGAGUGAAGAAGGUUUUCGGAUCGUAAAACUCUGUUGUUAGAGAAGAACAAGGGUGAGAGUAACUGUUCACCCCUUGACGGUAUCUAACCAGAAAGCCACGGCUAACUACGUGCCAGCAGCCGCGGUAAUACGUAGGUGGCAAGCGUUGUCCGGAUUUAUUGGGCGUAAAGCGAGCGCAGGCGGUUUCUUAAGUCUGAUGUGAAAGCCCCCGGCUCAACCGGGGAGGGUCAUUGGAAACUGGGAGACUUGAGUGCAGAAGAGGAGAGUGGAAUUCCAUGUGUAGCGGUGAAAUGCGUAGAUAUAUGGAGGAACACCAGUGGCGAAGGCGGCUCUCUGGUCUGUAACUGACGCUGAGGCUCGAAAGCGUGGGGAGCAAACAGGAUUAGAUACCCUGGUAGUCCACGCCGUAAACGAUGAGUGCUAAGUGUUGGAGGGUUUCCGCCCUUCAGUGCUGCAGCUAACGCAUAAGCACUCCGCCUGGGAGACCCCCAC